RNAcentral lists this ribosomal RNA (292 nucleotides) under uncultured bacterium. Its description in RNAcentral is "partial 16S ribosomal RNA". It matches the Rfam family "Bacterial small subunit ribosomal RNA", at positions 505 to 796 of the family's 1533-position model. The record is from RNAcentral.
GUGUCAGCAGCCGCGGUAAGACAGAGGGUGCAAACGUUGUUCGGAAUUACUGGGCGUAAAGCGCAUGUAGGCGGCCAAGCAGGUCGGAUGUGAAAUCCCUCGGCUCAACCAAGGAAGUGCAUUCGAAACCGCAUGGCUGGAGUCCCGGAGAGGGUAGUGGAAUUCUCGGUGUAGAGGUGAAAUUCGUAGAUAUCGAGAGGAACACCGGCGGCGAAAGCGGCUACCUGGACGAGGACUGACGCUGAGAUGCGAAAGCGUGGGGAGCAAACAGGAUUAGAUACCCUGGUAGUCC